AGCAGCCGCGGUAAUUCCAGCUCCAAUAGCGUAUAUUAAAGUUGUUGCAGUUAAAGAGCUCGUAGUUGAAUUUCGGGAUCAAAUUGUCGGUCGUGCCUCGGUACGCACUGGUAUUAUUGGUUCCUACCUUCUGAAGAACCGCGAUGUCAUUAAUUUGGUGUCGUGGGGAAUCAGGACUGUUACUUUGAAAAAUUAGAGUGUUUAAAGCAGGCUUACGCUUGAAUACAUUAGCAUGGAAUAAUGAAAUAGGACGUUUGAUUCUAUUUUGUUGGUUUCUAGGAUCGACGUAAUGAUUAAUAGGGAUAGUUGGGGGCAUUAGUAUUCAAUUGUCAGAGGUGAAAAUUCUUGGAUUUAUUGAAGACUAACUACUGCGAAAGCAUUUGCCAAGGAUGUUUUCAUUAAUCAAGAACGAAAGUUAGGGGAGUCGAAGACGAUCAGAUACCGUCGUAGUCUUAACCAUAAACUAUAGCCGACUAGGGAUCGGAUGAUGUUAAUUUUUAAUUGUACUCAUUCGG
Molecule: ribosomal RNA, 515 nt
Filed under: uncultured Glomus
Lineage: Eukaryota; Fungi; Glomeromycota; Glomeromycetes; Glomerales; Glomeraceae
Description: SSU rRNA
Rfam family: Eukaryotic small subunit ribosomal RNA
Source: RNAcentral